This 253-nucleotide ribosomal RNA is filed under the name uncultured bacterium. RNAcentral describes it as "partial 16S ribosomal RNA". It matches the Rfam family "Bacterial small subunit ribosomal RNA", at positions 524 to 776 of the family's 1533-position model. The record is from RNAcentral.
UACGUAGGGGGCAAGCGUUGUCCGGAAUUAUUGGGCGUAAAGAGCGUGUAGGCGGUCCGGUAAGUCAGCUGUGAAAGUCAAGGGCUCAACCCUUGAAUGCCGGUUGAUACUGUCGGGCUAGAGUCCGGAAGAGGCGAGUGGAAUUCCCGGUGUAGCGGUGAAAUGCGCAGAUAUCGGGAGGAACACCAAUGGCGAAGGCAGCUCGCUGGGACGUUACUGACACUGAGGCGCGAAAGCGUGGGGAGCGAACAGG